AUUGAACGCUGGCGGCGUGCUUAACACAUGCAAGUCGAUCGGUAACAGGUGUAGCAAUACAUGCUGACGAGAGGCGGACGGGUGAGUAAUGCUUGGGAAUCUGCCUAUUAGUGGGGGACAACCCGGGGAAACUCGGGCUAAUACCGCAUACGCUCUACGGAGGAAAGCCGGGGACCGCAAGGCCUGGCGCUAAUAGAUGAGCCCAAGUCGGAUUAGCUAGUUGGAGGGUAACGGCCUACCAAGGCGACAAUCCGUAGCUGGUCUGAGAGGACGACCAGCCACACCGGAACUGAGACACGGUCCGGACUCCUACGGGAGGCAGCAGUGGGGAAUAUUGGACAAUGGGGGCAACCCUGAUCCAGCGACGCCGCGUGGGUGAAGAAGGCCUGCGGGUUGUAAAGCCUUCGGUGGGGAAGAAAAGUCUCGACCUAAUACGUCGGGGACCUUGACGUAACCCCACUAAAGAAGCACCGGCUAACUCUGUGCCAGCAGCCGCCG
RNAcentral lists this ribosomal RNA (498 nucleotides) under uncultured bacterium. RNAcentral's name for it is "bacterial SSU rRNA". It matches the Rfam family "Bacterial small subunit ribosomal RNA", at positions 29 to 520 of the family's 1533-position model. The record is from RNAcentral.